UGAUAUGUAUACUCCUUUUGUAUGGUAGUUGAUGAGCUUUACUCAGGGCACAUACAUAAUAGAACUUGUUUUUCCUGUCAACUACCUCCUUUAUUAGCAAAUUUGAUUUGUGCUUGUCCAUAACUCCAGAACAUGGAUGGCCUAGUCUGCUAUGACAAAUAGCUUCAGUAAUCCUUACUCCAUAGAAUGCUUCUAUAUCUGGAUGUAUGUGAUACAACCCACCUUCACUAAGCCCAGUAAACCAUAUCUCUAUAGUACUGGGAUCCUUCACAGUGCAAACAUCAUGA
This 287-nucleotide long non-coding RNA is filed under the name Zostera marina. RNAcentral describes it as "long non-coding RNA (ZMAR_LNC001676)". The record is from RNAcentral. Lineage: Eukaryota; Viridiplantae; Streptophyta; Magnoliopsida; Alismatales; Zosteraceae.